UUUAAGCGUGUAGGCUGGUUUUCCAGGCAAAUCCGGAAAAUCAAGGCUGAGGCGUGAUGACGAGGCACUACGGUGCUGAAGCAACAAAUGCCCUGCUUCCAGGAAAAGCCUCUAAGCAUCAGGUAACAUCAAAUCGUACCCCAAACCGACACAGGUGGUCAGGUAGAGAAUACCAAGGCGCUUGAGAGAACUCGGGUGAAGGAACUAGGCAAAAUGGUGCCGUAACUUCGGGAGAAGGCACGCUGAUAUGUAGGUGAAGCGACUUGCUCGUGGAGCUGAAAUCAGUCGAAGAUACCAGCUGGCUGCAACUGUUUAUUAAAAACACAGCACUGUGCAAACACGAAAGUGGACGUAUACGGUGUGACGCCUGCCCGGUGCCGGAAGGUUAAUUGAUGGGGUCAGCGCAAGCGAAGCUCUUGAUCGAAGCCCCGGUAAACGGCGGCCGUAACUAUAACGGUCCUAAGGUAGCGAAAUUCCUUGUCGGGUAAGUUCCGACCUGCACGAAUGGCGUAAUGAUGGCCAGGCUGUCUCCACCCGAGACUCAGUGAAAUUGAACUCGCUGUGAAGAUGCAGUGUACCCGCGGCAAGACGGAAAGACCCCGUGAACCUUUACUAUAGCUUGACACUGAACAUUGAGCCUUGAUGUGUAGGAUAGGUGGGAGGCUUUGAAGUGUGGACGCCAGUCUGCAUGGAGCCGGCCUUGAAAUACCACCCUUUAAUGUUUGAUGUUCUAACGUUGACCCGUGAUCCGGGUUGCGGACAGUGUCUGGUGGGUAGUUUGACUGGGGCGGUCUCCUCCUAAAGAGUAACGGAGGAGCACGAAGGUUGGCUAAUCCUGGUCGGACAUCAGGAGGUUAGUGCAAUGGCAUAAGCCAGCUUGACUGCGAGCGUGACGGCGCGAGCAGGUGCGAAAGCAGGUCAUAGUGAUCCGGUGGUUCUGAAUGGAAGGGCCAUCGCUCAACGGAUAAAAGGUACUCCGGGGAUAACAGGCUGAUACCGCCCAAGAGUUCAUAUCGACGGCGGUGUUUGGCACCUCGAUGUCGGCUCAUCACAUCCUGGGGCUGAAGUAGGUCCCAAGGGUAUGGCUGUUCGCCAUUUAAAGUGGUACGCGAGCUGGGUUUAGAACGUCGUGAGACAGUUCGGUCCCUAUCUGCCGUGGGCGCUGGAGAACUGAGGGGGGCUGCUCCUAGUACGAGAGGACCGGAGUGGACGCAUCACUGGUGUUCGGGUUGUCAUGCCAAUGGCACUGCCCGGUAGCUAAAUGCGGAAGAGAUAAGUGCUGAAAGCAUCUAAGCACGAAACUUGCCCCGAGAUGAGUUCUCCCUGACUCCUUGAGAGUCCUGAAGGAACGUUGAAGACGACGACGUUGAUAGGCCGGGUGUGUAAGCGCAGCGAUGCGUUGAGCUAACCGGUACUAAUGAACCGUGAGG
Molecule: ribosomal RNA, 1430 nt
Filed under: Escherichia coli
Lineage: Bacteria; Pseudomonadati; Pseudomonadota; Gammaproteobacteria; Enterobacterales; Enterobacteriaceae
Description: partial 23S ribosomal RNA
Rfam family: Bacterial large subunit ribosomal RNA
Source: RNAcentral